ACCUGUGCCUGUCCUCCCCGCAAAGUGAGAGCUCCUAAUUGGACCGUGAAACAUCCUCGCUGCCCGGAACCGCCCCCCGACCCAAAGGCCGCCGCUGCUAUUCAAAGAAUGUUGGGAACCAGAACCCAGUAAGAGUGUGUGGAGUGAGUAAACUGGCCUCAGCCCUAAGGCGCUGCUAUCUACAAAGCUUGCGUUAGUCACAAGAGGAACUUUAAACGUAUUGACGCCCGGCAUCUGUACAGACGUUCUGAUGUCCCUGGUACUGGCUGUGACCCUGCCCAGUAGUUUUUUUUUUUUUUAAGAAAAUGCAAAAGUUAAUCUAAUUGACUGCAUAGUGACCCCACUACCCUGAGGAUUAGUCAAGUCUGGUGAUUCUCUUAAGGAAGUUCCCUGGCUUUUUAAAACUAUGCCUACUUCAUCCUGAGUAACCCUGAAAAGAAAUGAGUAAUUCUCCUUACAAUACUUCCUCUUCGUCCCAGUCGGGCAUGGGGUUGUCUUGUUUACCUUAAAGAAAGCUGUAUAUUUAGCACUUGGCACAGCACCACCAGCACCUACCAGAGGCAGCCUUGUCCUCUCAUGCCUCCCUGCCCCUAGGUUACUAAGACUGCUUGGCACCCGAGUGAAUGGAUGGAUGAAUGAAUGAAUGGAUGAAUGGUCGGUCUGACCCACUACUUUGGUUAAUGGCUGGGUGAAAAACAAAAUAGGUGAGAAGGUUGCUGGCUCCUAACAGCCUGAAGCCACACCUGCUGAGAACUGGGUGGCCCUCCCCACAUUCCUUCUAGGCUUUUCUGAGGUGAGAGUAAAAGGCUUGCAUAAAUGUACAGACAACUGCACAGGCUGACCGGACGCCUCUCCCACACUGCCCACAGCUCACUUCUUGUGUGUGUACAAGCAGUGCUUGAACCAGGGCAGCCCCUGACUCUCAAGUGUCGGGACUGGCUCCAAAAUAAGUGUUCAGGCCAAGAGACAGAGAAUUUGAUUGCCCCUGGCUCCCCAGCCAAGGUCUGCAUUAAGCACUGUUUGCCUUAUCUCAGGUGUAGGGACAGUCCGUAAAAAGAAGGUCCUGGGUACCUCAUUAUUAAAAAUAUAGACAGUGCAACUUAUUUCUAGAAUAUGAUGGGAUAUAUCACGGUUAUAAUAACAUACUAAUGCCAGGAUUAUAGGAUUCCAAUAGCUUGACCCUGAAAAUAUCUUACUGGGACUGGUCAGAGGGAUCAUGGUUGAGCAUAUUAGAAACGACCACGUAAGCCGCUUCAACCCCCCACUGCUCCUAAGAUAAGUAGACUGUAGCACGCGCUGGCGGCUGAAACAGCUUCCCCCUUGUGAGGAGAUCCAGAGAGCCGUAUUCUGGUCCAGUUAGUUACUGGUUACGGGAAGAGGCUCCUCCUCCCCUUUCCCCAUAGCUCAAGGUCUGCUCACGCUCUAAUCAAACACCUUAGAUCGAUUUGACUGAGCAUGUUAUCUUCCUUCCCUGAAAACCAACGUAGUAGUCCGUCAAUGCUCAUUUGAAAAGUCACCUUCUCUGGGUGGGGCUCCCAGCCAUGACUGUCCCUUCCCUCUUUGUGGCCCCAAGUACCUACUAAUAACUGCACAUCAUCUAAAUCUAUCAAAACUUUCGAAAAGCAAACCCUUGUUUGAUUUCUUGUCCCCCUAGAAUGUGGUAUCGUAGCUCAGACAACGUCGAAAAAUCCUUCUGUUUCUCAACUAUCGUCUCGGCUAAGACCGGAGUCCUGCUGCCUCAAUACCAAUGUAAACACCCAUCUGCAGAGGGUGCCAGCUACAGUAAUCACUAUGGAACCUCCUUCUCUCUAGGGCCCUGAGAUCAAGUCCAGCUUUCUCAAUGGUCCAGACAAGGCAAGACCCACCCUUCUUUGGGGAGCACUGCCACAUCUUGCCCUCCCUCUGCUCAUGACCUGGUUUCAACUUUAAGAAACCAGAAUCCACCAGACAGGCCUUCCCAGCAUUUUCCCAGGAAAAUGGCUCCCAGUAGAAGAAAACCAAGGUUUGUGGCCAUUGGCUCUUGCCAUCUCCAUUCAACAUCUCCCUUGGUCACCGUCAAUUUCUUGUUCCGUGCCUGAUCAUUUCUGUCGUCAUGCAAACACACUGUGCACCUCUCGUUCCAAGAAAGCUGUCGCCGCAUCCUUUCACAAGGCAAUUGGGUGAGGCGGGUGUUGGAAGAGCUCUCUACACUCCGAAGAACAAUAAAGGAAGCAAAAAAGCAGGAAACUGUCUGAGGAUGUGCCUGCUAAAGGGAAAAGAUGGCGUGCACCAUGCAUGGGACACAAGAAACAAAGAAGUGCCAAGGGGAGAGCUCACUGCACUCACCCAGUGGGGCAGCCAGAGAGCCAGGACGACAUGGUAGAAAGGAAGCAAAAAGCCAGGAGGGGAAAAGGCAGAAGCUGUAAAGGCUUGAACUAGUGAGGCAGCACCUGCCUCUGAGGGUAAACACGGGUUAGGAAUGGGAGAAAGUGAGAGAUGAGAACCUACGAUCCAGAUGUCGGCCUUGGCAGCUGGGGGAAAAAUGUUUUCCACAGGACAAAUGUCAGGGGGUCUCCUACAGUUCCAGAGAGGUGAAUUUCACUUUUCAGAGCACGGUCCAUCUCAAGGGGAAGCUGGGACAACAGGGAAAACACCCUGGUCGUCUGAAUGGAAUUCCGUCUGUAAUCUUCUUGGGAAGUGCCUGGAGCGUGGGGAAUGCCCAAAUGUGCUGGUCCACAAGCUCCACUGAGAGCACAGAAGGGAACCAGAUGCUGGUGUGCCAUCACAGGAGAGGGCUCCUAAGCCGAGCGGCCUUAACCCAAAGCCUGAGAAAUAACAGGUGGGGGGGACGGCGAAUGGGAACCGGCAGGGCUUGGUAUGUGGAAACCCAGGUUGUAUGCGAUUAACUUAGUUAGUGCUUCCAACUGUCUGAUAAGGGGCAAUAGUCUUGGUUUUCCCAUUUUACAGACAAAGAGAACGGAGCUGAGAACGGUGAGAGGAGCUGAGUUUGUUGGCCCUCAGCUACGAGAACAGGGCCGAGGCUACCCCAGCGCUAUAAUACUGAGCUACCUCACCAGCAAAAUGUCCCAGGCGGAGCAAGCAACAGGCAAAAAGGACGUGGGGUUUUAUGCUGUAGAAAUCUUCCCAUGCGGUUAGGCUGCUGUGAAUCAUGUUUAUGGACGACUAAUGGCGCGGGAGUCAGCCAUGCUCUGACGAUGUCUCAGGAACCGAGGGAGGCGUUUUAUAGGAACUCUCAUCCCAUCUCCAUGUUGCAGGUGAGGAACUAGAACCUCCAGAGCCCUCGACUUGUGACUGUGACUAAUGGUCACGACAGAGCAGGACUCGACUCACUUCCGGAGAAGAGAAGGCUCCUUCAUGCUGGUUUAGUAGUGUGAGACCAACUGACUCAAUAAAGUUGACACUAUGGAGAUCUUCAUCUAAAUCUGCUCAAUUCACAACUAAACAGUUGGAGAAGGGGGCAUUAAUUAAUUACUACAGUAUAGACAGUAUUACCUUGAUUUGAAUAUUACCUGAAUUUGAACAACCCGACCAGAGUGGACGAGGGCUGGAUGGACCUCAGUAGUAACAAACUUGCCUCCCAUAUACAAGUGCCUGGGUUUGCCCCCAGCCCCACAGGAAGAUAAAAUAAGGAGAACAACCUAGAUGGGACAUACUAUUUCCUUCUGGCAUGAACUGGACCCCGAUGUGUAUGGUACAGCGAUGUGUUUUCUUUGUUCUACUUAAGAGCAUCCUUUUGAGAAAUAGGAAGGUUGUUUUCAGCCCGACUCCGGGUACGUUUGGGUACAGAAAUGUGCCCAAGAAGAGGAAGAUAUGUAUAAAUUCUUAUGUGAGUGUUAUGAUAUCACUGAUAUCCACUCCUCUUCAUCCAUUUAUACAAGAGCAGAACACACACUGGAAAAGCAGAGGCAGGAGGAUGACUGUUUGAGUCUAGCCUGGGCUACAAAAAGAGCUCCAGGCCAGCCUGGGCUACAAUGUGAAACACUGUCUCAAAAAAAAAAAAAACAAAAACAAAAACAAAAAAUAAAUGAAAGUAAAGAG
Molecule: small RNA, 4038 nt
Filed under: Rattus norvegicus (Norway rat)
Lineage: Eukaryota; Metazoa; Chordata; Mammalia; Rodentia; Muridae
Description: uncharacterized LOC108351425
Source: RNAcentral